This 407-nucleotide ribosomal RNA is filed under the name uncultured bacterium. Its description in RNAcentral is "partial 16S ribosomal RNA". It matches the Rfam family "Bacterial small subunit ribosomal RNA", at positions 28 to 526 of the family's 1533-position model. The record is from RNAcentral.
GAUGAACGCUAGCUGCAGGCUUAACACAUGCAAGUCGCAGGACUGGCGCACGGGUGAGUAACGCGUAUCCAACCUUCCCAUAACUACGGGAUAACCCGUUGAAAGACGGCCUAAUACCGUAUGGUUAUGGAUGGGGAUGCGUCUGAUUAGCUUGUUGGCGGGGUAACGGCCCACCAAGGCGGCGAUCAGUAGGGGUUGUGAGAGGAAGGUCCCCCACAUUGGAACUGAGACCCGGUCCAAACGCCUACUGGCGGCAGGAGGUAGUAAUAUUGGUAAAUGAGCGUGAGCCUGACCCAGCCAAGUAGUGUGCAGGAUGACGGCCUGUGUGGUGUAAACUGCUUUUAUGUGGGGAUCGGUACCACAUGAAUAAGGACCGGCUAAUUCCGUGCCAGCAGCCGCGGUAAUAC